This 294-nucleotide ribosomal RNA is filed under the name uncultured Enterobacteriaceae bacterium. Its description in RNAcentral is "partial 16S ribosomal RNA". It matches the Rfam family "Bacterial small subunit ribosomal RNA", at positions 632 to 926 of the family's 1533-position model. The record is from RNAcentral. Lineage: Bacteria; Pseudomonadati; Pseudomonadota; Gammaproteobacteria; Enterobacterales; Enterobacteriaceae.
ACUGGUCAGCUAGAGUCUUGUAGAGGGGGGUAGAAUUCCAUGUGUAGCGGUGAAAUGCGUAGAGAUGUGGAGGAAUACCGGUGGCGAAGGCGGCCCCCUGGACAAAGACUGACGCUCAGGUGCGAAAGCGUGGGGAGCAAACAGGAUUAGAUACCCUGGUAGUCCACGCUGUAAACGAUGUCGAUUUGGAGGUUGUUCCCUUGAGGAGUGGCUUCCGGAGCUAACGCGUUAAAUCGACCGCCUGGGGAGUACGGCCGCAAGGUUAAAACUCAAAUGAAUUGACGGGGCCCGCAC